Molecule: ribosomal RNA, 249 nt
Filed under: Vibrio parahaemolyticus
Lineage: Bacteria; Pseudomonadati; Pseudomonadota; Gammaproteobacteria; Vibrionales; Vibrionaceae
Description: partial 16S ribosomal RNA
Rfam family: Bacterial small subunit ribosomal RNA
Source: RNAcentral
UCCAGAGAUGGAUUGGUGCCUUCGGGAACUCUGAGACAGGUGCUGCAUGGCUGUCGUCAGCUCGUGUUGUGAAAUGUUGGGUAAAGUCCCGCAACGGGCACGACCGUUAUAGUUGUUUGGCAGCGAGGAAUGUGGGGAACUACGGGGAGAAUGCAGGUGAUAAACCGGAGGAAGGUGGGGACGACGACAAGUCAUCAUGGCCCUUCCGAGUAGGGGUACACACGUGCUACAAUGGCGCAUACAGAGGGC